Molecule: long non-coding RNA, 292 nt
Filed under: Nicotiana benthamiana
Lineage: Eukaryota; Viridiplantae; Streptophyta; Magnoliopsida; Solanales; Solanaceae
Description: long non-coding RNA (NBEN_LNC015517)
Source: RNAcentral
CUACCUGAGGCAGUUACACAGAAGAUACAAGCAACAAUUGAGUGUUAGAUCAGAUUUCAAGCCACAAUUGGUAAUUUUGCAACUAAGAGAUCACUAUAAAUACUUUAGUAUUAAAUUUUGAAUUAAAAGUCUAUUUUUUGUUGUCAUUCUCAAGUGAUAUUAUUUUAUACCCAACAAAAAUACAUGUUUUAGAAACAACAUAAAUAGUCUAUUUUUUGGUGUCAUUCUCAAGUGAUAUUAUUUUAUACCCAAUAAAAAUAUAUGUCUUAGAAACACCUUGAAAAAACAUAUA